Molecule: microRNA precursor, 108 nt
Filed under: Daucus carota subsp. sativus
Lineage: Eukaryota; Viridiplantae; Streptophyta; Magnoliopsida; Apiales; Apiaceae
Description: sRNA DCAR_mi00083
Source: RNAcentral
CAUGUUUCUUGCUUAAAUGAGUAUUCCAUAGCCUCGCAUCCACGACCAUCUUGUCGUCUGCUGCUGCUUAGGGGGCCGUCAGCUUAUGGAUACUCAUUUAUGCAAGAA